Molecule: ribosomal RNA, 1373 nt
Filed under: uncultured bacterium
Lineage: Bacteria
Description: bacterial SSU rRNA
Rfam family: Bacterial small subunit ribosomal RNA
Source: RNAcentral
AGAGUUUGAUCCUGGCUCAGGACGAACGCUGGCGGCGCGCCUAACACAUGCAAGUCGAACGAGCGAGAGAGAGCUUGCUUUCUCAAGCGAGUGGCGAACGGGUGAGUAACGCGUGAGGAACCUGCCUCAAAGAGGGGGACAACAGUUGGAAACGACUGCUAAUACCGCAUAAGCCCACGGUGCCGCAUGGCACAGGGGGAAAAGGAGCAAUCCGCUUUGAGAUGGCCUCGCGUCCGAUUAGCUAGUUGGUGAGGUAAUGGCCCACCAAGGCAACGAUCGGUAGCCGGACUGAGAGGUUGAACGGCCACAUUGGGACUGAGACACGGCCCAGACUCCUACGGGAGGCAGCAGUGGGGAAUAUUGCACAAUGGGGGAAACCCUGAUGCAGCGACGCCGCGUGGAGGAAGAAGGUCUUCGGAUUGUAAACUCCUGUUGUUGAGGAAGAUAAUGACGGUACUCAACAAGGAAGUGACGGCUAACUACGUGCCAGCAGCCGCGGUAAAACGUAGGUCACAAGCGUUGUCCGGAAUUACUGGGUGUAAAGGGAGCGCAGGCGGGAAGACAAGUUGGAAGUGAAAUCUAUGGGCUCAACCCAUAAACUGCUUUCAAAACUGUUUUUCUUGAGUAGUGCAGAGGUAGGCGGAAUUCCCGGUGUAGCGGUGGAAUGCGUAGAUAUCGGGAGGAACACCAGUGGCGAAGGCGGCCUACUGGGCACCAACUGACGCUGAGGCUCGAAAGUGUGGGUAGCANACAGGAUUAGAUACCCUGGUAGUCCACACCGUAAACGAUGAUUACUAGGUGUUGGAGGAUUGACCCCUUCAGUGCCGCAGUUAACACAAUAAGUAAUCCACCUGGGGAGUACGACCGCAAGGUUGAAACUCAAAGGAAUUGACGGGGGCCCGCACAAGCAGUGGAGUAUGUGGUUUAAUUCGACGCAACGCGAAGAACCUUACCAAGUCUUGACAUCCUGCGACGGACAUAGAAAUAUGUCUUUCCUUCGGGACGCAGAGACAGGUGGUGCAUGGUUGUCGUCAGCUCGUGUCGUGAGAUGUUGGGUUAAGUCCCGCAACGAGCGCAACCCUUAUGGUCAGUUACUACGCAAGAGGACUCUGGCCAGACUGCCGUUGACAAAACGGAGGAAGGUGGGGAUGACGUCAAAUCAUCAUGCCCUUUAUGACUUGGGCUACACACGUACUACAAUGGCGUUAAACAAAGAGAAGCAAGACCGCGAGGUGGAGCAAAACUCAGAAACAACGUCCCAGUUCGGACUGCAGGCUGCAACUCGCCUGCACGAAGUCGGAAUUGCUAGUAAUCGCAGAUCAGCAUGCUGCGAUGAAUACGUUCCNCGGGCCAUUGUACACACCGCCCGUNNC